ACUCGGAUGGUGUAAUGGCAGUAUCUCAGUCUCCAAAACUGAUGAUAUCGGUUCGAGUCCUGUUCGGAGCGCAA
This 74-nucleotide transfer RNA is filed under the name Chryseobacterium elymi. RNAcentral's name for it is "tRNA-Trp". It matches the Rfam family "tRNA". Rfam says of the family: Transfer RNA (tRNA) molecules are approximately 80 nucleotides in length. Their secondary structure includes four short double-helical elements and three loops (D, anti-codon, and T loops). Lineage: Bacteria; Pseudomonadati; Bacteroidota; Flavobacteriia; Flavobacteriales; Weeksellaceae. The record is from RNAcentral.